AUGGGUGUGGUUAACCCCCUCAUCGGCAAGCUCACUGAGCUACUUGGUGAGGAGUACAGAAAGCUCACCGGGGUGAGAAGGCAGGUCAUGUUUCUCAAGGAUGAGCUCAGCAGCAUGAAAGCUCUCCUUGACAAGCUAGAGCUUGUAGAUAAGCUUGAUCCUCAGGCUAAGGACUGGCGGGAUCAUGUUAGGGAGAUGUCCUAUGACAUGGAGAAUUGCAUCGACGACUUCAUGCAUGAUCUUGAAGGCGCUGAUGGCAAGAAAGGCUUUGUCAGGAAGAUGGCUCAGCGUCUUAGGAGGCUGGGGAGGCGUCAUCAGAUUGCCAACCAGAUCGAGGAGCUCAAGAUUCAUGCAAUCGAGGAAAAUGCCCGAUGCCAGAGGUACAAUAUUGAUGAUUCCAUACAUUCAAGUUCAACUGUUGUUGCUGUAGAUCCCCGGGUAUCCUUGCUAUCUACCACCGGGAAUUAUUUCCGUUUACUUCUUGUCUUUUGA
This 492-nucleotide ribosomal RNA is filed under the name Triticum aestivum (bread wheat). RNAcentral's name for it is "partial small subunit ribosomal RNA". Lineage: Eukaryota; Viridiplantae; Streptophyta; Magnoliopsida; Poales; Poaceae. The record is from RNAcentral.